GCGUCGGAGGCCCCCGCCCCCGGCCCCUGGCCCCGGCCUAGACGCACAGGCCUCCCCAGGGGGGGAGCGUCCCGCCACUGAGCCAUCUCAGCAGCGCCCGCUGCGCCCGCACUGACCGUCCGAGCCACGUGGGCGCCCCGCGAGGCGCCAGCGUCCCAGGACAGACAGCCUCACUACACAGCGUCACAGCUACACUGAACCUCAGCCCGUCCCUGCCCCGCUUGGGACUGAAGAUAGCUGGCACAUGAAAUGCAUCUCUCUCGCCCGCGUGGUGUUUCCCUGAGGGUCUCUCAUCCCCAGGCUUCACGACGCUGCCCGCCGCCCGCCCGCCCGCGCCACUCAGGAGAGGAGCCCAGGGUGGGGCCUGGCAAGGACCGGGGCCCAGGAUGCCUUGGGAACGUGGUUUUGACUAUUGCGCUUAUGAAACAGCUGUAUGUUUGGUUUUUUUUUUUUUUGUACUAAUUUGAAGUUUUUCCUCAAAGUGCUUCUUUUCCAUCCUAGUGAGAAGCCAGUAGUAUAGCGUGUGACCCCUGGAGCGGCUCCGGCUGUGGACCUGACCCCACGGCCGGGCGGCACAGGCCUGUGAGCGGCUCUCUGGGCCCUCACGCGGAAGCGUUCGUGGAUGGUUUUGAUAUUGGUUUUUCUUUACCAGUUUCUGGCUUUUACUCUCAAUAUAUUUUUGCUAAACUUGUUUCACAAACUGCCACCGACUGCAGUGCUUGUUUACUGAUGCGUCCCGAGUUCCGCAGCUGCAGGACGGAGCGGCGGGUGUGGGCCCUGCUGAGGAGCCUGGGCUGCCCGGUGCCCCCACUGGGCCUGGAGCUUGAGGGGAACCUGUGUCCAGACAGCUCUUUCGGGCUGAGGAGAGGCUGCCUGGGGGGGAGCAGUGGGAGCCGGGCUGGGUGGACAGGCUCCCUGGGUGCCGACGGCCUCCUGGCCCCCAUCUCGUCCUCCCAGGGGAGGUGAGGUCACCCCACCGCCAUCCCCAGGACCCCCCGACCAGCAAACGGCCACGUGUGUGCAGCCCCUUCUCCAGCCACUUCACGUUUGGGAGUCAGACAAGCCCAUUCUUAUCACUCAGUACAAUUCUUAUCACUCAGUACAGAGACUGUCAGGUGCCCAGUUCUUGACCCUACGAGACGUGUAGCCAACGAGGACACGCUCAAGUGCGACGCUGUCUGCGGGCGGCAUGGUGCCCACCGCCCCGCCGAGACGACUCCAGCAGCACCCGGGUGUCGGCGUCAGUCACCCGGAAGGGGGCCAGGCUCCAGCUCUGGGGCACCCGGUGCUACUGCCAGUUCUGACAUUUAAGAACUUGAGCUUCACUUCUGGGGGGUAUACUGAAAUGUAGAUUUGCUGUUUGGGGGGAAAUAGCGUUUUAAGGUUGGAAAUUGUGUCUGGAAGAUUGUAUGAGUAUUUUUGUAUUAAAAAAAAUUUAAAGGCUUUUUUCUUAAACUUAUUUUAUGUGGGAUUGUAAGUUUUGUUUUUUUUUUUUCCCGAAUUUUCCCGAUUUUUUGGGGCGGGGGGAGCAGGGCUUGCUGCACACGCGGUCCUAGUUCUCCUACAGGACGAAGCCGCACCUCCUCCCGCAGAAGCGGAGGUGCUAAGCCCGGGCCCCGGGCCGGGCCGCCCCAUCCCGGAGUCGUCCGUUGCUCUGCGCGUCUGACACCCUCCUGACGUCUGGGGAGAGGCCCCCGUGGCCCUGGAAGUGGUCUGGGGUGGGUGAGGGGCUCUGCUUCUGCCCCGCCCCCGCAAGCGUGGCCGGCAGAAGAGGCGGCUUCGCCAGCCUCAGCCCCAAGGCACCCUGACUCAGAGCCUCUGGUGUGCCCCCCGCACCCCCGAGCAGAGAGGUCAAGCUGGCUGGAAACAGCUCUGGUGGUUUUUCUUUAGAAAAGCUCAACUUUAAUUAGGUAGUUUUUACAAUGAAAACAGGUACCCAAGGACUGGUCUUAAAUGCUCACAACUGUACAAAAGGCAAAUACAAAACCUGCGGUUGCGAGCGCGGCCCACCGCGGGCCCCGGGCCGGCCCCACCCCGCUCUCAACCACCUUUGGUCCCUCAACUGUGCGGGUGGGGCCCGUGCUGCCCUAGCAGGAAAGCCCUCCAGGUCAGCGGGAUUUAAGAAAAACUAAGAAAAGGUCCAAGUCUAACAGGCGGAGCUGUUGCCAAGAUCAAGAAUUUACAACUUUUUUUUGGCUAAGUUUAACAUUCAAAAAUGUAAUACUGAAUCCAAAACUGUCUCAAAUCACACAAAAAGGACCCAUAUUAAAAUUUAGAAAACAAGUCCAGGACGCCCCGGAGAAACCGGAUCUGAAGCGUCAGCGGGCGCGGGCGCGGGUGCGCCCGGCGGCCC
Molecule: long non-coding RNA, 2353 nt
Filed under: Ovis aries (sheep)
Lineage: Eukaryota; Metazoa; Chordata; Mammalia; Artiodactyla; Bovidae
Description: lncRNA (ENSOARG00000026627.1)
Source: RNAcentral